Molecule: ribosomal RNA, 252 nt
Filed under: uncultured Veillonellaceae bacterium
Lineage: Bacteria; Bacillati; Bacillota; Negativicutes; Veillonellales; Veillonellaceae
Description: partial 16S ribosomal RNA
Rfam family: Bacterial small subunit ribosomal RNA
Source: RNAcentral
UUGGGCACUCUAUUGUGACUGCCGUAGAUAAUACGGAGGAAGGUCGGGGAUGACGUCAAAUCAUCAUGCCCUAUAUGACCUGGGCUACACACGUGCUACAAUGGGGUGAACAACGGAAGCAAGCCAGCGAUGGUAAGCGGACCCCUAAAAACACCUCUCAGUUCAGAUUGCAGGCUGCAACCCGCCUGCAUGAAGUCGGAAUUGCUAGUAAUCGCGGAUCAGCAUGCCGCGGUGAAUACGUUCCCGGGCCUU